ACGGUGUACCCAGUUGCAUCCUGCGGUAAGGCACGGCGGGGCGGGAUUUCAUCGGGGAUGCCACCUCCAGCUGGCCGCGCAUGGAAAAAAAAUCGCCACCAAAAUAUGGGAACAUGAACCCCGAAGCUGCUGCCGACAAAACCGCCUAGGCAAUCAGUCAGAGAGGGCCCUAAAUGUGUGAAGUGAAUUGCAUGGAUACAUGGUGCACUUUGUGCGGCGCAAACCCCAAAGAAGCUGCCCAAGACUCCCCCCAGGAAAGCGUUCAAGACCGACGGGGGUAGCAUCAUCCGCUGUUAAAACAAAGUCCUUAAGGGGCAAUGUCCAUCGCGUACCAUGUAUGUUCCAGAGCAGCAGCACCAGCGCCUGCGUGCGGAGUCUCCACACUUUCAAAGCCACUACGGAGAGGCCCUUGGUUCGCUGAUGCUUUACUGUUGGCGAUCGCAAGUCUCCUACACUUUAAGAUACAGCUGGAGUAAUUGG
Molecule: long non-coding RNA, 480 nt
Filed under: Volvox carteri
Lineage: Eukaryota; Viridiplantae; Chlorophyta; Chlorophyceae; Chlamydomonadales; Volvocaceae
Description: long non-coding RNA (VCAR_LNC002062)
Source: RNAcentral